This 468-nucleotide ribosomal RNA is filed under the name uncultured bacterium. RNAcentral's name for it is "partial 16S ribosomal RNA". It matches the Rfam family "Bacterial small subunit ribosomal RNA", at positions 28 to 507 of the family's 1533-position model. The record is from RNAcentral.
GACGAACGCUGGCGGCGUGCUUAACACAUGCAAGUCGAACGGAAAGGCCCUGCUUUUGUGGGUUGCUCGAUUGGCGAACGGGUGAGUAACACGUGUGUAUCCUGCCCUUGUCUUUCUGAUAUCUUCACGAAACUGCGGCUCUUAUCCGAUAUGAUCUCCUGCUGCAUGGUGGGGGUUGGUAAGUUUCGGCGGUUGGGGAUGGACUCGCGGCUUAUCAGCUUGUUUGUGGGGUAGUGGCUUACCAAGGCUUUGACGGGUAGCCGGCCUGAGAGGGUGACCGGCCACAAUGGGACUGAGAGACGGCACAGACUGGUACGGGAGGCAGCAGUGGGGAAUAUUGCAGAAUGGGCGGAAGCCUGAUGCAGAAACGCCGCGUGCGGGAAGACGGGCUUCGGGGGGUAAACCGAUUUGGCCUGUGACGAAGCGUGAGUGACGGUAAUGGGUAAAGAAGCACCGGCUAACUACGUG